RNAcentral lists this ribosomal RNA (458 nucleotides) under Paraclostridium benzoelyticum. Its description in RNAcentral is "bacterial SSU rRNA". It matches the Rfam family "Bacterial small subunit ribosomal RNA", at positions 1 to 486 of the family's 1533-position model. Lineage: Bacteria; Bacillati; Bacillota; Clostridia; Peptostreptococcales; Peptostreptococcaceae. The record is from RNAcentral.
UUAUAUUUGAGAGUUUGAUCCUGGCUCAGGAUGAACGCUGGCGGCGUGCCUAACACAUGCAAGUCGAGCGAUCUCUUCGGAGAGAGCGGCGGACGGGUGAGUAACGCGUGGGUAACCUGCCCUGUACACACGGAUAACAUACCGAAAGGUAUACUAAUACGGGAUAACAUAUGAAAGUCGCAUGGCUUUUAUAUCAAAGCUCCGGCGGUACAGGAUGGACCCGCGUCUGAUUAGCUAGUUGGUAAGGUAAUGGCUUACCAAGGCAACGAUCAGUAGCCGACCUGAGAGGGUGAUCGGCCACACUGGAACUGAGACACGGUCCAGACUCCUACGGGAGGCAGCAGUGGGGAAUAUUGCACAAUGGGCGAAAGCCUGAUGCAGCAACGCCGCGUGAGCGAUGAAGGCCUUCGGGUCGUAAAGCUCUGUCCUCAAGGAAGAUAAUGACGGUACUUGAGGAG